This 493-nucleotide ribosomal RNA is filed under the name uncultured bacterium. RNAcentral describes it as "partial 16S ribosomal RNA". It matches the Rfam family "Bacterial small subunit ribosomal RNA", at positions 29 to 507 of the family's 1533-position model. The record is from RNAcentral.
ACGAACGCUGGCGGCGUGCUUAACACAUGCAAGUCGAACGGAAAGGCCUGCUUUCCCUUGUGGAUUGCGGGUACUCGAGUGGCGAACGGGUGAGUAACACGUGAGUGAUCUGCCCCCAACUUGGGUAUAAGCCUGGGAAACUGGGUCUAAUACCCGAUAGGACUGCAGGGUGGUGCCUGUGGUGGAAAACGAUUUUCUAGUGGUUGGGGAUGAGCUCGCGGCCUAUCAGCUUGUUGGUGGGGUAAUGGCCUACCAAGGCGGCGACGGGUAGCCGGCCUGAGAGGGUGGACGGCCACAUUGGGACUGAGAUACGGCCCAGACUCCUACGGGAGGCAGCAGUGGGGAAUAUUGCACAAUGGGCGGAAGCCUGAUGCAGCGACGCCGCGUGGGGGAUGACGGCCUUCGGGUUGUAAACUCCUUUCGACCGCGAGGAAGCCACCUGGUUGGAAGGGUGGUGACGGUAGUGGUAGAAGAAGCACCGGCUAACUACGUG